CAGCAGCCGCGGGAAUACGGAGGGAGCUAGCGUUGUUCGGAAUUACUGGGCGUAAAGCGCGCGUAGGCGGUUACUCAAGUCAGAGGUGAAAGCCCGGGGCUCAACCCCGGAACUGCCUUUGAAACUAGGUGACUAGAAUCUUGGAGAGGUCAGUGGAAUUCCGAGUGUAGGGGUGAAAUUCGUAGAUAUUCGCAGGAACACCAGUGGCGAAGGCGGCUCACUGGUCCAUUACUGACGCUGAGGUGCGAAAGCGUGGGGAGCAAACAGGAUUAGAUACCCCAGUAGUCCCUGUCUCUUAUAC
This 301-nucleotide ribosomal RNA is filed under the name uncultured bacterium. RNAcentral's name for it is "partial 16S ribosomal RNA". It matches the Rfam family "Bacterial small subunit ribosomal RNA", at positions 509 to 807 of the family's 1533-position model. The record is from RNAcentral.